Molecule: ribosomal RNA, 402 nt
Filed under: uncultured bacterium
Lineage: Bacteria
Description: bacterial SSU rRNA
Rfam family: Bacterial small subunit ribosomal RNA
Source: RNAcentral
GUUUGAAUCCUGGCUCAGAUUGAACGCUGGCGGCAUGCUUUACACAUGCAAGUCGAACGGGCUUGGGGGCUUGCUCCCAAGUUAGUGGCGAACGGGUGAGUAAUACAUCGGAACGUACCGUGUAGUGGGGGAUAACGUAGCGAAAGUUACGCUAAUACCGCAUACGAUCUACGGAUGAAAGCAGGGGACCUUCGGGCCUUGUGCUAUACGAGCGGCCGAUGUCUGAUUAGCUAGUUGGUGAGGUAAAGGCUCACCAAGGCGACGAUCAGUAGCGGGUCUGAGAGGAUGAUCCGCCACACUGGGACUGAGACACGGCCCAGACUCCUACGGGAGGCAGCAGUGGGGAAUUUUGGACAAUGGGCGAAAGCCUGAUCCAGCCAUGCCGCGUGUCUGAAGAAGGCC